CAUAGGAGAGAAUACUCUGAAAGCAAGGAAAAAAACCCUGGGUGUCUGUGACACUUUCAUUGUUAUCACUUUCUCAGGAUUUCAUUUGGAAAACAGACAUAAUCACAGUUGCCCUGGAAGACAGCGGUGUUCAUUAUGUGGAAGAGAUUUGAUUAGUGGUGGAAAAUUUUGUCUUUUAAUUUUUCCAGCAGAGGAUUGGUAUUGGCUUUAUCCUGGGAGAUAAAGGGACCUACAUUUGCUUAUAUUUGCUGAAUAGAUUCUUGUGUCUAUGUGAGGGGCAGCCUGCCUUGAGGCAUUAUCUGUGUCAGCCCAGGUUGUGGGCUUAGGGAUGGAGGCUACCAGUUGAAACAAAUGAGCUUUGCUCAGGGGGAUAAUAGCCUUAUUUUGUGGCAGUCUGUCCCUUCCUAUUUGUUCUGAGAAAAUGACCAACUGAUAGGCCCUUCAUCAUGUACAAACAUUGUUUGUUUGGAUUGGGGUUAUCUUUUUUCUUUUUUUGGCAACGGGAAAAAACAAUAUGGCAAUGACCUGAAGGUGGAGAACGACCUCUCCUCUUCAUUCAGCCCCUAAGCUGUCAGGUCUCACUGCCUGCAUCACUGGGCUAGAGCAUUUCAGCAUCUUCUUUCUAAAGCAAAUCAAGUCAUGCUUAGAAGAUUUGAUACAUGGCUCUUCUCAAGGCCUUUUCUUCACUUGUUUAUAUCUUGAACUUGUAAAUUGCCGUCACAUUUUCAAACCUUGUAAUCACCUCACCAAUUGCUGUUUUCAUGAAUAAGAAUACAAGAUCAAUAGACUUCUCAAUAUUUUCCUUUGCCAUGGGGUAAUCGAAGGUCAGUCCGUGAAGCUGACAUUUCAGUUAUCUGGUCUACCUCCUGUUAACUGGAUUACCUACUUGCCUCUUGUGAUUGGUCCCAGUGGUUUUAUUUCUGCCUCUACGGUUGUCAGGGCGUGGUUCGAGGUCAAUAGCAUCUGCAAGUCAACAUCUCAUCUUUGUUUUCCAUUAUAUCCUUUUCCCACUUUUCUUCAUGAUUAACUAAAAUCCCUUGACAUCAAUGAACUAUGUAUUUGUCAGUGUUGCCAUUAAGCAUUAGUGUCACCGCAAUGGAGAUGGACAGCUCCCUUCCUCAUCAAUCCAUGUGUUUAUGUGAGCAUUUAAAAUAGCUAUUAGAUGUAAUGCAGACAAAGCAGUAUUUCUUUUGUCAGAGCAUAGCUUUUCAAGAGAAAUUCUGCACUUCUAACUUUGGUCCUUUCUCUACUGCUAAGAGGUGGGACUUCCAUAUGGGUUAUUAUUACAUUUUAGCGACAACAACAGUAAACAAUUAAGAAUUUUAGUUUGAGAUUAAAUAUUGAAAAACGUCACUAAAAGGGUUACAAAAUAUGCAACUGGACCUGUGCACAGCCAAAGAUUCUGCAUGGUUCUGUGGUUCUUCGUGCACGGGAGAAUUACAGUUGGCACAGCCCAGCCCAUGCUGGAGGCCACAAAUAAAGCUCUUGUUUAGUAUGCUCCAGUUGCAUUUUGGUCACAUGUGCUUAUAUUAAUGCCUGUGCUUUCUGCUUCCUCUUGGGUAUUAUGUGGUUGCUUGGCUGCAGCAGGAAAUUUCGCUGCCUUGAUGGCCGCUGGAAAACUGCAAGAGAUCAAAAUAUUCAGGGAAUCGAGCCUGCCUCAUACCCCUCAUAAAGCUGGAAAGUAACUCCAAAAGUAGACAAAAGUAACCCUCAAAAGUAGACAAACAUAUGGAAAUUAAAUAAUCUGCUCCUGAAUGAUCUUUAGGUUAGCAAGGAAAU
Sapajus apella (tufted capuchin) is the source of this 1779-nucleotide long non-coding RNA. RefSeq lists it as uncharacterized. The record is from RefSeq and is a predicted model, not a curated record. The transcript has 4 exons. NCBI's taxonomy places the organism in Eukaryota, Metazoa, Chordata, Mammalia, Primates, Cebidae.